UGGGGAAUAUUGGACAAUGGGCGCAAGCCUGAUCCAGCAAUGCCGCGUGUGUGAAGAAGGCCCUCGGGUUGUAAAGCACUUUUNUCAGGGGCGAAAUCUGCAGGCUAUACCCUUGUAGUCUGACGGUACCUGAGGAAUAAGCACCGGCUAACUCCGUGCCAGCAGCCGCGGUAAUACGGAGGGGUGCAAGCGUUAAUCGGAAUUGCUGGGCGUAAAGCGUGUGUAGGCGGUUUGUUAGUCUGUUGUGAAAGCCCCGGGCUCAACCUGGGAAUGGCAAUGGAUACUGGCAAGCUAGANUGUGAUAGAGGAUGGUGGAAUUCCCGGUGUAGCGGUGAAAUGCGUAGAGAUCGGGAGGAACAUCAGUGGCGAAGGCGGCCAUCUGGAUCAACACUGACGCUNAGACACGAAAGCGUGGGGAGCAAACAGGAUUAGAUACCCUGGUAGUCCACGCCCUAAACGAUGCGAACUGGAUGUUGGUCUCAACUCGGAGAUCAGUGUCGAAGCUAACGCGUUAAGUUCGCC
This 522-nucleotide ribosomal RNA is filed under the name uncultured bacterium. RNAcentral's name for it is "partial 16S ribosomal RNA". It matches the Rfam family "Bacterial small subunit ribosomal RNA", at positions 355 to 870 of the family's 1533-position model. The record is from RNAcentral.